GGGUGUAUCCUACUUACCUACCCAGUACCAAAUAUCCACCCCAUGCCUGUGAAUGCAUAAAUAAUAUAACAGUUGAAAAAGAAAAAUUGUAUACCCCAAGAAAAAAAAUUUCCAUAUUUUUCAAAAAUCUAUGGAACUUCACGCUACGUCGACUGCUUAAAGGGUUCUUGAAGAAUUUCGUAUCAAGGUUAGACGGAAGACCGGAAACACUUGGGGUCAGUUAUUUUGUAAGGGGAUUUAGGGUUGAGCCAGGUAAAUAGGAAAGUGGACAUUGUUGCAUUAUCUGCAACUUCCCCAUAUGGCCUCCAUAUGUGGACUUUAUGUUCCCCCAGGGAGAGGGCGUUGCUACGACCCCAGCUGAUGUUUAGCGUCCGUUUCUUCAGUUACUCUUAGUCCGUGCGUUAGUACGAACGUUGCUCGUUUGAGGCACGUAAAAGUAAAAGAAGUCUGAGAAAUAAGACGGCAGAGAUAAAAAAUAAAAUAGCUUCGAAGAAACCGUUAAAAAGCGAGCGUACAAACGAGGAAUAAGACUACGUGGGAAAGUUGAAAGUCGCUAAACAAAAUGAUUCCUGAAACCGAAAGUACCUGCACCACGGCGGAAGUGACGUUGAAAAAUAUUGAAGUGGAAAAGCCGAAGGGUGAAAGCGAGACAGAAAUGGCGUCCACCACAGCGUGGAAGAGAUACCAGCAGUUCGUAUCGAUGAUGGAGUCAAGGGGUGGGAAAUUGAAUAAAAAAUUAAUUAUCGAGGCAAUGUACAGGGGUAACGAUCUAGCCUAUGCGAGUCAUUGAUAAUCAUUAUUAGAAAUAGAUAAUGCAAGUCAUCCAAUGCUACUCGUAGAUAGGAUAAGCUCGAUAAUAAUUUCCUUUGCAAAAUCGAUUACCAUUCGGUAUCGAUUAUUAUCAAUGCCAAAAAAAAUGUAUUAACUAGUCAAUAUAGAAUAUUUGGAGUUUAGAUGAUCCCGUUAGAUUACAAUAAACGACAAAGGUAGCUAAUUAUGGAUCAUUGUCGAUCGCGCGAUCAUGAUGAUCUAUGCUCAAUCUUGCCAGUAAAAUACUCAGCGUGUUUAGCUAUAAUUAAAACGUAGUCAUCAAUAAUGAAUACUGUAUGCGCAUUGCUUUAGACGUAAUACUUUUAGUUCCUAAGGUAUAGUACAGUAUAGAUAUAGUAUCUGUAUAAUCUAUAAAAUGAAAGCAGGAUGAAAAUGUAAUAUAAAUUUAAACGUAAAUAUAUUGCGAACUCGUUGCGCGUAUCUCAUGUGGACGUGAGCCGUGGCCGUGCAAUGAAUUUAUAUAGGGGAGUAUAAAAUUGAUUUUAUAUAAAAUCAUACAAGACAAUUUCGUCUAGUCCGUAUAGGUAUAUAAAAGUAGAUAUACAGUUAAUUUCAAAAUCCAAUACUCACAAAGUGUAUAUUCAGCGUUAUAGAUAAUAAAUACGUGAACAUACGAGAUACACGAUGUGCCGUAUACGUUAUACGAUUUUCUGAUAGCAUCUAAGAUACUAUACUAUCAUUGAAUAUAUAAUGUAUUGGACUCUAGUAUAUGCUUCGCUAGACAAUUUCCUGCCCCUUACCGCAGUCGUGAUCUUUUCGAUAUAACCUGCAGAUUGUCAUAAUAUAAUACAUGUCACGAUAUUUAUCUCGUGUCAAUACACUUAAUGGGUCCGCGUUAUUAUACAGCGGUACAUAGAAAUUUAUAUACCAAUAGAAUGGAUUGAAAUCUGUAUCGAUAUAUUGAAAUUUAAAAAAUCUUAAUCAAGUGUCGAAAGUACGUGUUUUUUUAACUAAAAGAUCUGUAUACAUUGUUAUGUACUUGUUUGUACAUUGAUAGUAUGCAGGUGUAUCUAUAGGUACAGUGCACUUUACAAGGGAAUGGUACUGGUAUUUCAGUUAUGUUUGACUUUAGGUGAAACUGUAGCAUUAUUCUUGCAACGUACUGUACAUAUAUAUAUGUAUCAUAAAACCGGGUUUACAUCUAGGUAUUAUGGAAGUAUGUAUAUUGAGAUUGUGAACAGGCCAUUAUCUAGAAAACAGGUUCACAAAGUGAAGAAUAAUAGACGGAAUCAAUUAUAAAAUAUGUUAAUCUCCCUCAAUUUAUAUUAACGACGCAGGAUUAUCUUUGCGAUUGGAACAAUAAAGUAAUUCUUAAGAUUUUA
Molecule: long non-coding RNA, 2153 nt
Organism: Cephus cinctus (wheat stem sawfly)
Lineage: Eukaryota; Metazoa; Arthropoda; Insecta; Hymenoptera; Cephidae
Exons: 2
Source: RefSeq, a predicted model, not a curated record